GGAAGGCUCCAGGAGCUGCAGGAAGCAGAGGGACUUUGUGAGCUCAGGGUGACCUGGAAGGGGGGCCUGGAGCAGCUGUGCCAGUGCCAGCACAGUCCUGGCAUUGCUGUGUGGGGGCCAGGAGCUAUUUUGGUCACCACAGAGGGCUGGGGUUGGUUUUGCUGUUUGCUUUUUGUGUGUGAGGUGGGGUUAGCACAGCCAGGCUGCCCCAAGGUUAAUCUUUGUCUAACCCUGUUCCUGCUCACUGCCCCUCCAAGGCUUCAGCAAAGCUCUUCCACUCUGCUCCUGUAGCAGGGACACUCCCAGGGGCUGUUUGUCCAUCUGUCCCCUAAACAGUCUCCUGUGAGGCAGGUGAGGAUGUUCCUGAGGCAUUUGCAGUGUGACAUCCAGAGCUUAUCCUGACAGUGCUGCUGGCCUUGGGGAGCUGGAGGAGCCUCCCACAGCUCCCAGCCCAGUGGUGUGGCUUGGGAACCCCACCAGUGACUGAGGGGAUUCCUCCCUCCCAAAAAGAAAAUGCCAAAAGCUGUCACCUGUGCCGGGGGGGAAAAGAGCCACUCCCAAAGCUGCAUUCAAAUCAUUUUAAUGCACUUUAUCAAAGAGGCUACAACAGUGUUUGAAACAAGUGCAUCACCACCACACAGCUGGCUCACAGAACAGCCACAGCAGCCAUCCACAGCCCUGCUGUGACCAGUGACACACAGAAAUGGAAAACUACAGUCACAUUCACAGAGAUGGAAGGACAA
This is a long non-coding RNA of Melospiza melodia melodia, 743 nucleotides long. RefSeq lists it as uncharacterized. The transcript is spliced from 2 exons. The record is from RefSeq and is a predicted model, not a curated record. Lineage: Eukaryota; Metazoa; Chordata; Aves; Passeriformes; Passerellidae.